UACGGGGGUGGCAAGCGUUGUUCGGAAUUACUGGGCGUAAAGGGCGCGUAGGCGGUUCAUUAAGUUGGAUGUGAAAACUCUGGGCUUAACUCAGAGCCUGCAUUCAAAACUGAUGGGCUGGAGUUCUGGAGGGGAUAGCGGAAUUCCUGGUGUAGCGGUGAAAUGCGUAGAUAUCAGGAGGAACACCGGUGGCGAAGGCGGCUAUCUGGACAGAAACUGACGCUGAGGCGCGAAAGCUAGGGGAGCAAACAGG
This 253-nucleotide ribosomal RNA is filed under the name uncultured bacterium. RNAcentral's name for it is "partial 16S ribosomal RNA". It matches the Rfam family "Bacterial small subunit ribosomal RNA", at positions 524 to 776 of the family's 1533-position model. The record is from RNAcentral.